Molecule: ribosomal RNA, 550 nt
Filed under: Funneliformis mosseae
Lineage: Eukaryota; Fungi; Glomeromycota; Glomeromycetes; Glomerales; Glomeraceae
Description: SSU rRNA
Rfam family: Eukaryotic small subunit ribosomal RNA
Source: RNAcentral
UUGGAGGGCAAGUCUGGUGCCAGCAGCCGCGGUAAUUCCAGCUCCAAUAGCGUAUAUUAAAGUUGUUGCAGUUAAAAAGCUCGUAGUUGAAUUUCGGGAUCAAUAUAACGGUCAUGCCGUUGGUAUGCACUGUUAUCAUUGAUUUCUCACCUUCUAAAGAACCGUAAUGCCAUUAAUUUGGUGUCACGGGGAAUUAGGACUGUUACCUUGAAAAAAUUAGAGUGUUUAAAGCAGGCUCACGCUUGAAUACAUUAGCAUGGAAUAAUGAAAUAGGACAUCCGAUUCUAUUUUGUUGGUUUCUAGGAUCGAUGUAAUGAUUAAUAGGGAUAGUUGGGGGCAUUAGUAUUCAAUUGUCAGAGGUGAAAUUCUUGGAUUUAUUGAAGACUAACUACUGCGAAAGCAUUUGCCAAGGAUGUUUUCAUUAAUCAAGAACGAAAGUUAGGGGAUCGAAGACGAUCAGAUACCGGCGUAGUCUUAACCAUAAACUAUGCCGACUAGGGAUCGGAUGAUGUUAAUUUUUUAAUGACUCAUUCGGCGCCUUACGGGAAAC